RNAcentral lists this transfer RNA (83 nucleotides) under Roseisolibacter agri. Its description in RNAcentral is "tRNA-Ala". Lineage: Bacteria; Pseudomonadati; Gemmatimonadota; Gemmatimonadia; Gemmatimonadales; Gemmatimonadaceae. The record is from RNAcentral.
CGCGAUGAUGUUCUGGUGGAUCGGCGCGCUCGCGCCGCGCGCGUCGCUGCGGGCGCGCGCCGGCGCGGCGCUGGCCGUCGCGU